Molecule: non-coding RNA, 303 nt
Organism: Chlorocebus sabaeus (green monkey)
Lineage: Eukaryota; Metazoa; Chordata; Mammalia; Primates; Cercopithecidae
Source: RefSeq, a predicted model, not a curated record
UUACACGGGAGGAAGCUGAAGUUCAGGAAGUUCCAGCUCCCUGCAAACCUCAUUGCCAGUAAAUGGCAGAGCUGUGGUUUGCAUCCAGACAGAGCACCUGAGGCUCAGAGAGGAAACGAGGGCUACCCACAGUCACACAGCAGGUUCUGGAGCCCCAAAUCCUCCGCCUUCUACCCCAGGAAGACGGCCAGUGCCUGCUGCCCAGGGCAGGAUGAAGAUGCUGAAUCUGCCUGUUGAACAGACGGAGAAAUAGAUGCAUGGAAGAAAGGACUAUUCUGAGUUAGCAGCCAAGCCAGGAGCGGA